This 672-nucleotide long non-coding RNA is filed under the name Homo sapiens (human). Its description in RNAcentral is "HSALNT0348695". Lineage: Eukaryota; Metazoa; Chordata; Mammalia; Primates; Hominidae. The record is from RNAcentral.
AAGGGCUCAGCUCCACAAGACUACCCCCUUCACAUGCCAGCAGCAAAUAUGGGGCCCAAGUUACCCACAUUUCUGCCCAGCUGACUACAAAUUCUGGUUUCCAUGACCCCCUCUCAGGUUUGAUAGUUUGCUAGAACAACUCACAAAGUGAAGGAAAAUGGUGUACUUACUAUUACUGGCUUAUUAUAAAGGCUACAACUCAGAAACAGCCAAACGGAGGAGAUGCACAGAGCAAGGUGACCAGUCCGCAUCCUGAUACUAUCUCGGAGUCCCCCAGCCAAGAAUCAUCUCAUCAGCAUAAACUCAGGCAAUGUUGAAAGGCAUUCAGAAUGGUACUGGCCAUGUAACAUCCUCAGGAAAAUGGAGAAAGGAGUCACAUCAUCUUCUGUGUUUGGAGACUGCUAUGUAAGCCAGAAUACUAGUCACACAGUGCAGAUGAAGUACAGGUUCACAAAGGUUAAAUAACUUGCCCAGGCCGAGCAUGGUGGCUCAUGCCUGUAAUCCCAGCACUUUGGGAGGCUGAGGUGGGCGGAUCACCUGAGGUCGGCAGAUCACCUGAGGUCAGGAGUUCGAGACCAGCUUGGCCAACAUGGUGAAACCCUAUCUCUACUAAAAGAAAAAUAAAAAAGGAAAAUACAUUUAAAAAAAAAUUAGCCAGGCAUGGUGGUGGAU